Molecule: ribosomal RNA, 253 nt
Filed under: uncultured bacterium
Lineage: Bacteria
Description: partial 16S ribosomal RNA
Rfam family: Bacterial small subunit ribosomal RNA
Source: RNAcentral
UACGAAGGGGGCUAGCGUUGCUCGGAAUCACUGGGCGUAAAGCGCACGUAGGCGGCUUUCUAAGUCGGGGGUGAAAUCCUGGAGCUCAACUCCAGAACUGCCUUUGAUACUGGAGAGCUUGAGUCCGGAAGAGGUGAGUGGAACUCCGAGUGUAGAGGUGAAAUUCGUAGAUAUUCGGAAGAACACCAGUGGCGAAGGCGGCUCACUGGUCCGGUACUGACGCUGAGACGCGAAAGCGUGGGGAGCGAACAGG